AUAGUCAUUAUUUCUUUUGUUCUGAACACACUCUUUCAACUGUAUCUCCCAGUUUUCCUGUGUGCUGUCCCCUAGACAUCCCCUGAUUUUUUCUGCCUCUAUUUUAGCUCACAUUGUUUUGUUCACCUGAAACACCCCUUUGCCUUUUCCUAACUCAGACCAAUUCCCCAGUCAUUCUCCCCCCACCAGCUCCUCUCCUUUGUGCACUGUAGCGCCUUGUAAUUUGGCACCUGUUGCAAAGGUAGAAAAGAGCAUUUUGUAAAUUGUAAAGUGCUGCGCAAACUUAUUAUCUGUCUUCCUAAACUGCAAGCUCACUUAGGGCAGAAAAUGAGCUUUUUCCCUAAUUGCAUACAUAAAACUACUUAACGUUGUGUCUUGUACGUACUCUAUAUUUAUUAAAGUUUGAAUGAAUUAGGGAUAGGUGAUUUGGUGGCUGGCCUACCGUCCAGUGGAAUAGGGUGUCUGAGGUAAGGGGGGAAGGACAGAGUUUUUUUGUAAUAAACUGAUUUUAGGCAAUUUAUUUUUCAACAGGAGAUGUGGGACAUGUGGAUUUGGGAUAUGAAUUCAUUUGAAAAGCCACUUUGGGGUAAGUUGAUAGCUGGGAGUAAUUGGCUUUAGGGUUGUACUUCUGUUUAUAUUGGGGUUUGCUCUUACUUAUGUUGAUUGGACUUUAUGCCUCAUAUGCACACCAGAAAAUGGCUUGAACUAAAAUCCCAGUUUAGUAAUUUGAGAAGUAAAAUCAUCAAGCAUAGCCGCAGUAUUCAUUAGUUUGUACAUUCACUUCUCAUUCAGGAGGUCAGUUUGAAGGCUAAAUGAAGACCAGGUUUGGAAAUAAAGAUACUUAUUACAUAGGAUUUAACUGCUUGAGCUCAACCAAUAAUCCUGUCAUGUGGACUGGAAAGCACUUACAGCACCAGUGUUGGAGAUGGAGGGUCAAAGUUUGUCUUUGAGCUUCUCUUCGCAGUACUCCAAAUGGCUGUUUGAAUUCUCAUUGCGUCAGUACAAACAUAAAAGCUUCCCAGUGUUUUGUUUCAUCUAAGAAAGAGCCACUAGAAAUACUAUUUAAUAUUUACUGUUUACUGAGUAUAUGAGUGUGUUUUGCAUUAUUUCAUUUCAUUCAGUGCAAUGGGACCAUAACAUGGGUUUAGUCUUUAUUUCUUGUUCAGGGGAAUAAAGAGGCCCAGGUUUAUGCAAAUAAAGUCCAAUUGCUAGGAUCACAUAACAAAUGUUUUAGAAUUGAAAGUGAAUUUCAGCAUUUUGACAUAAUAGACACUCAGUUUUGUUUUAAAAUGCUGAUUGUUCAGUUCCUCUUGUGGUUCAGCGGAAACGAAUCUGACUAGUAUCCAUGAGGAUGCAGGUUCGACCCCUGGCCUUGCUCAGUGGAUUAAGGAGCUGGCGCUGCCUUAGCUGUGGCGUAGGUAGCAGCCAUGGCUCGGAUCUGGCGUUGCUGUGGCUAUGGUGUAGGCCAGUGGCUACAGCUCCGAUUCGACCCCUAGCCUGGGAACCUCCAUAUGCCACAGGUGUGGCC
Molecule: long non-coding RNA, 1528 nt
Filed under: Sus scrofa (pig)
Lineage: Eukaryota; Metazoa; Chordata; Mammalia; Artiodactyla; Suidae
Description: lncRNA (ENSSSCG00060074155.1)
Source: RNAcentral